Molecule: long non-coding RNA, 1201 nt
Organism: Lemur catta (Ring-tailed lemur)
Lineage: Eukaryota; Metazoa; Chordata; Mammalia; Primates; Lemuridae
Exons: 3
Source: RefSeq, a predicted model, not a curated record
UCGGGCGGGGCCUGGGGGCGGAGUCAGGGGCCUUGACGCCGGCUGGGCCCGGGUCCCCGCGGCACCCAUUCCAGGGGACCUGGGACUGCAGCCCUGUUGCGCGAGCGCCAUCCCCUCUACCCCCGGACUCUGACCGGCGCCCAGCGUCCGCCAGUGCGCGCUGGGCUUCCCCGUAGCCACCUGGGCCCCCCCAGGUCCCAGUGACAGAGGGGGAGGCUGAAGCCCGGAGAGGGCCUGAGAGCCCCCUAAAUACCCCAGCGAAGUGGGGCCUGAGGCACGGCCGGUCCUCCUACCCGGCCCUGCUGUGCGCCGGCCGGUCCUUCUAGUUCUCUUGAGAGUGGUGACAUCGCGGGACAGACCUGGCGAGGUUGGACAUGUGACCAGAUAUCCUUGUUCUGGUGCUUAACAAUGAGAGGCUCCUAGUUUGGAGGAGUCGUGCACAGCCCCUCUUCCUGCUAAUCGGAAAAGAAACGUCUGGACUAGUACUUCUGCCAUGUGGCCCGGCCUGUUACCUGGGAUGCUCAGCUCCGACAGACCUCGUAGUUUUGUGUGGGUGAAGACAUCGCUUUCUAUUAGUAUUUGCGAGAUGGCGUGAACAGCCCUAAGCUAGCAGCUAGAGUCGCACCUGCUUAGAGCCCUAGUGUCGGGAGCGCCCUCUUCUGCCUGCGCGGUGAAGUGCAGCGUCAGCAGAUGUCCCGGUUUGGUGGUGGUGGGCUUGGCUUGUCUUCCAGUGUUACGGUACGCCUUUGCUGCUGCAGCUCUUAAUUUCCCCUUCUUACAAGCUUCUCUCCCUUUGCCACCAAGCCUCCAAGCGCGUCACCCCCUACCUAUUGUAUGCUCCCCCACAAAGGGACGCGUAUCCUCCUGCUACCUGGUUCCCACACUCUGGAGUCGGAUCCCUGAAGCCAGCACUCUGACCUGCCAGAUCUCAGCCCUGCUCUCCCGCAUCUCACACCAGUAUGGGGACGUUCUCUUUCUGAGGGUGAUUCUUGUCUGUUCUCCGUCCGUCUCAGUCCCUUUGCUCACACCUCCUUCUGGCCUCCAGUCUCCACAGUGCAUGGCCCCAAAGACAGCUCUGCCAGAAUCUGGUGGUUGUUAUUCUACAUCAAGGUAAAUGACAUCGUGGUAUUUUCCAUCUUCUUUGUAUGCUGAGGUUACGAGAAAGGUGAGACUCUAUUGUGGCUCCUUUUUAAUCUGUAUU